GGAGGAGCUUGCGUCACAUUAGUUAGUUGGNGGGGUAAAGGCCUACCAAGACUAUGAUGUGUAGCCGGGCUGAGAGGUUGAACGGCCACAUUGGGACUGAGACACGGCCCAAACUCCUACGGGAGGCAGCAGUAGGGAAUUUUCGGCAAUGGAGGAAACUCUGACCGAGCAACGCCGCGUGAACGAUGAAGUAUUUCGGUACGUAAAGUUCUUUUAUUAGGGAAGAAUAAAUGAUGGAAAAAUCAUUCUGACGGUACCUAAUGAAUAAGCCCCGGCUAACUAUGUGCCAGCAGCCGCGGUAAUACAUAGGGGGCAAGCGUUAUCCGGAAUUAUUGGGCGUAAAGGGUGCGUAGGCGGUUAAAUAAGUUUAUGGUCUAAGUGCAAUGCUCAACAUUGUGAUGCUAUAAAAACUGUUUAGCUAGAGUAAGAUAGAGGCAAGUGGAAUUCCAUGUGUAGUGGUAAAAUGCGUAAAUAUAUGGAGGAACACCAGUAGCGAAGGCGGCUUGCUGGGUCUUUACUGACGCUGAGGCACGAAAGCGUGGGGAGCAAACAGGAUUAGAUACCCUGGUAGUCCACGCCGUAAACGAUGAGUACUAAACGUUGGGUAAAACCAGUGUUGAAGUUAACACAUUAAGUACUCCGCCUGAGUAGUACGUACGCAAGUAUGAAACUUAAAGGAAUUGACGGGACUCCGCACAAGCGGUGGAUCAUGUUGUUUAAUUCGAAGGUACCCGAAAAACCUCACCAGGUCUUGACAUGCUUCUGCAAAACUGUAGAAACACAGUGGAGGUUAUCAGUUGCACAGGUGGUGCAUGGUUGUCGUCAGCUCGUGUCGUGAGAUGUUGGGUUAAGUCCCGCAACGAGCGCAACCCUUAUUGUUAGUUACCAGCACGUAAUGGUGGGGACUUUAGCAAGACUGCCGGNGANAAAU
This 931-nucleotide ribosomal RNA is filed under the name Candidatus Phytoplasma asteris-related phytoplasma. Its description in RNAcentral is "bacterial SSU rRNA". It matches the Rfam family "Bacterial small subunit ribosomal RNA", at positions 223 to 1163 of the family's 1533-position model. The record is from RNAcentral. Lineage: Bacteria; Bacillati; Mycoplasmatota; Mollicutes; Acholeplasmatales; Acholeplasmataceae.